GCGGGACACGUGGUAUCCUGUCUGAAUAUGGGGGGACCAUCCUCCAAGGCUAAAUACUCCUGACUGACCGAUAGUGAACCAGUACCGUGAGGGAAAGGCGAAAAGAACCCCGGCGAGGGGAGUGAAAAAGAACCUGAAACCGUGUACGUACAAGCAGUGGGAGCCUCUUAAUGGGGUGACUGCGUACCUUUUGUAUAAUGGGUCAGCGACUUAUAUUCUGUAGCAAGGUUAACCGAAUAGGGGAGCCGAAGGGAAACCGAGUCUUAACUGGGCGUUAAGUUGCAGGGUAUAGACCCGAAACCCGGUGAUCUAGCCAUGGGCAGGUUGAAGGUUGGGUAACACUAACUGGAGGACCGAACCGACUAAUGUUGAAAAAUUAGCGGAUGACUUGUGGCUGGGGGUGAAAGGCCAAUCAAACCGGGAGAUAGCUGGUUCUCCCCGAAAGCUAUUUAGGUAGCGCCUCGUGAAUUCAUCUCCGGGGGUAGAGCACUGUUUCGGCAAGGGGGUCAUCCCGACUUACCAACCCGAUGCAAACUGCGAAUACCGGAGAAUGUUAUCACGGGAGACACACGGCGGGUGCUAACGUCCGUCGUGAAGAGGGAAACAACCCAGACCGCCAGCUAAGGUCCCAAAGUCAUGGUUAAGUGGGAAACGAUGUGGGAAGGCCCAGACAGCCAGGAUGUUGGCUUAGAAGCAGCCAUCAUUUAAAGAAAGCGUAAUAGCUCACUGGUCGAGUCGGCCUGCGCGGAAGAUGUAACGGGGCUAAACCAUGCACCGAAGCUGCGGCAGCGACACUAUGUGUUGUUGGGUAGGGGAGCGUUCUGUAAGCCUGUGAAGGUGGCCUGUGAGGGUUGCUGGAGGUAUCAGAAGUGCGAAUGCUGACAUAAGUAACGAUAAAGCGGGUGAAAAGCCCGCUCGCCGGAAGACCAAGGGUUCCUGUCCAACGUUAAUCGGGGCAGGGUGAGUCGACCCCUAAGGCGAGGCCGAAAGGCGUAGUCGAUGGGAAACAGGUUAAUAUUCCUGUACUUGGUGUUACUGCGAAGGGGGGACGGAGAAGGCUAUGUUGGCCGGGCGACGGUUGUCCCGGUUUAAGCGUGUAGGCUGGUUUUCCAGGCAAAUCCGGAAAACCAAGGCUGAGGCGUGAUGACGAGGCACUACGGUGCUGAAGCGACAAAUGCCCUGCUUCCAGGAAAAGCCUCUAAGCAUCAGGUAACAUCAAAUCGUACCCCAAACCGACACAGGUGGUCAGGUAGAGAAUACCAAGGCGCUUGAGAGAACUCGGGUGAAGGAACUAGGCAAAAUGGUGCCGUAACUUCGGGAGAAGGCACGCUGAUAUGUAGGUGAAGCGACUUGCUCGUGGAGCUGAAAUCAGUCGAAGAUACCAGCUGGCUGCAACUGUUUAUUAAAAACACAGCACUGUGCAAACACGAAAGUGGACGUAUACGGUGUGACGCCUGCCCGGUGCCGGAAGGUUAAUUGAUGGGGUUAGCGGUAACGCGAAGCUCUUGAUCGAAGCCCCGGUAAACGGCGGCCGUAACUAUAACGGUCCUAAGGUAGCGAAAUUCCUUGUCGGGUAAGUUCCGACCUGCACGAAUGGCGUAAUGAUGGCCAGGCUGUCUCCACCCGAGACUCAGUGAAAUUGAACUCGCUGUGAAGAUGCAGUGUACCCGCGGCAAGACGGAAAGACCCCGUGAACCUUUACUAUAGCUUGACACUGAACAUUGAGCCUUGAUGUGUAGGAUAGGUGGGAGGCUUUGAAGUGUGGACGCCAGUCUGCAUGGAGCCGACCUUGAAAUACCACCCUUUAAUGUUUGAUGUUCUAACGUGGGCCCGUAAUCCGGGUUGCGGACAGUGUCUGGUGGGUAGUUUGACUGGGGCGGUCUCCUCCUAAAGAGUAACGGAGGAGCACGAAGGUUGGCUAAUCCUGGUCGGACAUCAGGAGGUUAGUGCAAUGGCAUAAGCCAGCUUGACUGCGAGCGUGACGGCGCGAGCAGGUGCGAAAGCAGGUCAUAGUGAUCCGGUGGUUCUGAAUGGAAGGGCCAUCGCUCAACGGAUAAAAGGUACUCCGGGGAUAACAGGCUGAUACCGCCCAAGAGUUCAUAUCGACGGCGGUGUUUGGCACCUCGAUGUCGGCUCAUCACAUCCUGGGGCUGAAGUAGGUCCCAAGGGUAUGGCUGUUCGCCAUUUAAAGUGGUACGCGAGCUGGGUUUAGAACGUCGUGAGACAGUUCGGUCCCUAUCUGCCGUGGGCGCUGGAGAACUG
Molecule: ribosomal RNA, 2262 nt
Filed under: Escherichia coli
Lineage: Bacteria; Pseudomonadati; Pseudomonadota; Gammaproteobacteria; Enterobacterales; Enterobacteriaceae
Description: partial 23S ribosomal RNA
Rfam family: Bacterial large subunit ribosomal RNA
Source: RNAcentral